This 21-nucleotide microRNA is filed under the name Macaca mulatta (Rhesus monkey). Its description in RNAcentral is "Mml-Mir-584_5p (mature (guide))". Lineage: Eukaryota; Metazoa; Chordata; Mammalia; Primates; Cercopithecidae. The record is from RNAcentral. RNAcentral also lists the same sequence under 4 other names.
UUAUGGUUUGCCUGGGACUGA